CUUCUGCUUUUUCCCUGCCUCCUCUCCUUCCCCUCCUUCCUAGGCGCCGCCCCUCUCCUCCCCUUCCUCCCAUGGCGCCACCCUGCUCCUCCCCUUCCUCCUCAAAAUCUCUGCUGCUGCCGCGGAUGGCAGCGACAAAGACGACGAAGUGGCUGCUGUGGAGGUCGACUUGUGCGGCGCGGUGUCUGUCGAGGCAGGGGCGGUGAUUGCAAGGGAAGACGGCGCCGGCGAGGUCUGGGGCCGGCGCUCGGGCGGCUGCGACGAGCUGCCGGAGCAGGGUGGCGGCGGAGUCCAGGAGUGUGGUGCUCUACGGGCUUCUUGUGGGUGCGGGUGUGGCGCCGCGACUGAAACGAGGUGGCUGUGAUCUCGUGCUGCUGCGUCUUCUGUUGCUACGAGCUAGUACAUCUGUGGGACUUUGAGCGACGGUUACAUGGUGUGUAGCUGCUGAAAAAUGUGAAUGCUUGCUUGGGAAAUUGGGGAUCAA
This is a long non-coding RNA of Triticum aestivum (bread wheat), 484 nucleotides long. RefSeq lists it as uncharacterized. The transcript has 2 exons. The record is from RefSeq and is a predicted model, not a curated record. NCBI's taxonomy places the organism in Eukaryota, Viridiplantae, Streptophyta, Magnoliopsida, Poales, Poaceae.